RNAcentral lists this ribosomal RNA (484 nucleotides) under uncultured bacterium. RNAcentral's name for it is "partial 16S ribosomal RNA". It matches the Rfam family "Bacterial small subunit ribosomal RNA", at positions 28 to 507 of the family's 1533-position model. The record is from RNAcentral.
AUUGAACGCUGGCGGCAUGCUUUACACAUGCAAGUCGAACGGCAGCGCGGGCUUCUGCCUGGCGGCGAGUGGCGAACGGGUGAGUAAUUCAUCGGAACGUGCCCAGCAGUGGGGGAUAGCCCGGCGAAAGCCGGCUUAAUACCGCAUACGACCUGAGUGUGAAAGCGGGGGACCGUAAGGCCUCGCGCUAUUGGAGCGGCUGAUGUCGGAUUAGCCAGUGGGUGGGGUAAAGGCUUACCAAGGCGACGACCCGUACCUGGUCUGAGAGGAGGACUGGCCACACUGGAACUGAGACACGGCCCAGACUCCUACGGGAGGCAGCAGUGGGGAAUUUUGGACAAUGGGGGCAACCCUGAUCCAGCCAUGCCGCGUGCGGGAAGAAGGCCUUCGGGUUGUAAACCGCUUUUGUUCGGGAAGAAAUCCUCUGGGCUAAUACCCCGGGGGGAUGACGGUACCGGAAGAAUAAGCACCGGCUAACUACGUG